UCCUAAUUUUUUCCCCGUUACAAAACCCGAUAACUCUUUCAAAACCAAAAAAUAAAUCUCACCCUUUCCUUCCCUAAACCAGCAGCGUCUCUUCUUUGCUCCCAGCCUCACACUAAAACGUCUCCUUCCCUAAACGUAGAACUCACCCUUUCCUCCCUCCAAAAUCAAAACCCAAAAUCCUUCCCUAAACCAGCAGCGUCUCUUCUUUGCUCGCAACCUCACACACUAAAACAUCUCCUUCCCUAAACCUAAAACUCACCCUUUCCUUCCUCCAAAAUCAAAACCCAAAACUCAAAUUCUUUCCCCGUCGCCGCCGCCGCUACAGAUGGCCACCAUUACGGAUCGCCGCUACAGAUGGCCACCACUCAGAUUCUCACACAACCACCGUCACUUCUCCGUAAACAUUACCAGAAGAGGGAUGCAAAUAAGGUGCUUGGUGAAGUGCAUAACAGGAAGUACUCAGGUGUGUUUUUCACUAAUCAAAUCAAUCACACUGAAUUUAUAUAUGAAAUGGGAAAAAGCUACAAUUGUUGUUGGGGUUUUUUUAGUUGCAAAUGCUCUUGAGCAUUUGAAGCGGACAACUACAUAUAAAAAGGUUGAACAUGACUCAGUUACUCCAGGUAAGUGCCUAAUUGUUAUUUCCAUAUUCUUGAAGCGAUUAAUAUUCUAGGUACCUGAAGGUUUUGAGAGCAUGAUUUUUUUCCAAAAUAAUUUCUAGACCAAAAGGAUUUUGAUAAUUUCCCUUCGCUUUGUUGGUGGCAGUGUUUGGUUAGUGCGGAAGGUUCAAAACUGUUAUUCAUAGUAGUGGUUUCUGUAUCUGUUGUCUUUGGCUUAUCUUCAAUUGUCAUGAAUUUCAUAUUAGUUUUGUGUGUCCUGUGAUAUUGGUGCUGGUGAAUUAUAAUUGGUAAGUGUUGAUUGCUAUUAUCAGAUACGUUGAUCUCUUACUUCCCAGCCUUUGUUUAUUAUCAAGUAUCAAGGUCAAUGUUUGAUAGCAAUUUCAAAUUAUCUAUUAGUUAGUCUGAUUGGGGGCUGCAAAAGUAGGAAAUGAAAAUUAUGGAAUUCUGCUUUUGUUUGUGAAGUUUUGCAAGGCAGGACAGUUAUGAUGGGGGAGCUUUAGUUGUAGUGCUUGAUAGAAGAAUGAAGCAAUCCAAGAGAGAUCCUUUGGGAUAUAGUGUAGAGUCAUAUUGUGCAACUGUUACAAUGUUGCUUGGGAAGAUACAAAUUCUCACCAAAACUAAAUGGAAUUAUAGAUUCUCACCAACAUGUCUAACAUUUGUUUGAUUUGGCAAAAGCUUUUAUAUCACCAAAGCUAUGAAGCUCAAGCUCCAAUUCUUCCAACUACUGAUACCACUUGGAGAGCCUAA
Molecule: long non-coding RNA, 1364 nt
Organism: Quercus lobata
Lineage: Eukaryota; Viridiplantae; Streptophyta; Magnoliopsida; Fagales; Fagaceae
Exons: 2
Source: RefSeq, a predicted model, not a curated record